This is a long non-coding RNA of Adelges cooleyi (spruce gall adelgid), 1470 nucleotides long. RefSeq lists it as uncharacterized. The record is from RefSeq and is a predicted model, not a curated record. The transcript is spliced from 2 exons. Lineage: Eukaryota; Metazoa; Arthropoda; Insecta; Hemiptera; Adelgidae.
CAUAUAUAAGCAAUAAUAAGUACUAAUUUGAAAUGAGUUAUUUCGUUAUUUUUUAUUAUUUUUAAUUAUGGACAGUGAUAGUAUACAUAAUACAAUAUGUUAACUUUUAACAUUUAUAUGGAAUAUACUGGCACAGGUUUCGUUUUUAGACUACACGUUGUGUCAAUUAUAGUAUGAAGUAUGAAAAUGCCAUUCAUUUUUUUUUAUUUAUAUCAAUAGAUCGUUUAAAUGAAUACAUUUUUUAGUUGAAUAGCACUUAAUGAGAUGUUUUUUGUUCUUAUGUAAGAGGUAGAGGAAUUCACGAACUUUGUUUUUGCUAUACUCUAAAAUGUUCAUACAUGGACUACAACCCUUCUUCCCUUGUGCCCUUCACUUGUUAUCGCUAUUGAUCGCUGUAUAUGACUUUAAUCAUUUUUAAUAAUUUGUCUUGAUAAGCGGUUCAAUUUUAAUAUUUAUUAGGUAAUAUAUUUUAUUCAUCGCGACUGUUGAACACUUCUAAUAUGAUUUGAUUUUCGUUGGCAAUUGUUAAUAUACCUACUUGUGUUUGAGACAUGAUUUUAUUCAAUUGAUAAUAUAUAUAUUUGGUUUCUUCUACAACAAGUUUGUUCUAUAAUUUGAUCAUGGGUGAAGGCAUCACCUGUUCAAUAAUUGAAAAACGGAUUAUUCAUUCCAGUCCCAUAAAAACGUAGAACAGCGAGAAAUUGGAUUGCCCUCCGGACUGGCAAACCUCUUAUUGAACUAUCAUUUAAUUCGGCUUUGUUAAACACAAGAGGCGUUAAAUAUUCUAAUACAGUUGUUUUUGAAAAUCUACCAAGUAAAAUAUCAAAUAAAUAAUAUUAUGAUAAUUUUAUUUUAUUUUUGUAUAAUCAUAAAACUAGAAUUUAUGUAUUUUUCUUACCUAAAUAGGGUAAUGAACUCAUUGUAAGCAACAUAAUUUAUAUAAUCUUAUCUGUGCCGACGACGGUUCAACGUACUUAAUACAAAAAACUGACAAUGGCUAUUGCACUUGCACUAUAAUACACUGACGAUCCUUGUACUGGGCCUAUCUAUGGGACUUUGGACCUAUUUGAAAAUCCUAUAUAAACCGCUUGAACACGCUUGCGACCGUUGUAAUACGCUUUGAAGUUUCCAUCGCAUUCACGUCGACAAUUGUCUACAGACAACUUUCAUUCCAAAAAUUGAAAAUGGUUUGCGUAAAGAAAUCCUUGAACAUAGUCGUUGUCGGACAAGUCAUGAAGGGAAAUGCUUUCAUCGAUCCAGUCGUGCCUUUUAUAAGAAAACAAAUCGACCAUCAAAGAAAUUAAUUCUGAAAUUGGCUACUAAAUUAAGGAAACAAAAGAUGAUCAUUUCAUCCAAAUCGGUCAAUAUUCAAAAAUGCCAUGUCUCAUGACGACUAAUAUUAUAUUAUGUAGUUCAAUAAGAAAAUAGUAAAAUUUUAAAUAUAGAAAAUUUAUAUUUCAGUACGUGUAA